GUCGAACGGCAGCACGGACUUCGGUCUGGUGGCGAGUGGCGAACGGGUGAGUAAUGUAUCGGAACGUGCCUAGUAGCGGGGGAUAACUACGCGAAAGCGUAGCUAAUACCGCAUCGCCCUUCGGGGAAAGCGGGGGACCUUCGGGCCUCGCACUAUUAGAGCGGCCGAUAUCGGAUUAGCUGGUUGGUGGGGUAACGGCUCCGCAAGGCGACGAUCCGUAGCUGGUUUGAGAGGACGACCAAUAACACUGGGACUGGGACCUGGCCCAGACUACCACGGGAGGCAGCAGUGGGGAAUUUUGGACAAUGGGAAACCCUGGUCCCAGUCAUCCCGCGUGUGCGAUGAAGGCCUUCGGGUUGUAAAGCACUUUUGGCAGGAAAGAAACGGCACGGGAUAAUGCCCACGAUGCGGCUGACGUACCUGCCAGAAUGGCACCGGCUAACUGCGUGCCGGCUUAGCCACUGGUAAUACGUAGGGUGCAAGCGUUAAUCAGGUACUGGGCGUAAAAGCGUGCGCAGGCGGUUCGGAAGAGAAAGAUCGUAAAUCCCGACUUAACUUUGGAACAUUUUUAACUACCGAGCUAGGUGUGUCAGAGGGAGGUGGAGUUCCCGCGUGUAGCAGUGAAAUGCGUAGAUAUGCGGAGGAACACCGAUGGCGAAGGCAGCUCACAGUUGCUGGCCGCCAUGCACGAAAGCGUGGGGGGCAAGCAGGAUUAGGUACCCUGGUGGUCCGCCACAAACGAUGUCGCUAGCUGUUGGGGCGGGCCUUGGUAGCGCAACUAACGCGUGAAGUUGACCGCCUGGGGAGGCUACAGUCGCAAGAUUAAAACUCAAAGGAAUUGACGGGGACCCGCACAAGCGGUGGAUGAUGUGGAUUAAUUCGAUGCAACGCGAAACCUUACCUACCCUUGACAUGUCUGGAAUCCCGAAGAGAUUUGGGAGUGCUCAUAGAAACCGGAACACAGGUGCUGCAUGGCUGUCGUCAGCUCGUGUCGUGAGAUGUUGGGUUAAGUCCCGCAACAAAGCGCAACCCCUUAUCAUUAGUUGCUACGAAAGGGCACUCUAUUAGAGACUGCCGGUGACAAACGGAGGAAGGUGGGGAUGACGUCAAGUCCUCAUGGCCCUUAUGGUGGGGCUUCACACGUCAUACAAUGGUCGGGACAGAGGUCGCCAACCCGCGAGAGGCCAAUCAGAAACCCGAUCAUGUCGGAUCACCGAUGUAACUCGACUGCGUGAAGUCGGAAUCGCUGGUAAUCGCGGAUCAGCAUGUCGCGGUGAGCGUUCCCGGGUCUUGUACACACCGCCCGUCACACCAUGGGAGUGGGUUUACCAGAAGUAGUUAGCCUAACCGCAUCAAGGAGGCGAUUACCACAGUAGGAUUCAUGACUGGGGUGAAGUCGUAACUGAGACCAA
This 1412-nucleotide ribosomal RNA is filed under the name uncultured Bordetella sp. Its description in RNAcentral is "partial 16S-23S ribosomal RNA intergenic spacer". It matches the Rfam family "Bacterial small subunit ribosomal RNA". The record is from RNAcentral. Lineage: Bacteria; Pseudomonadati; Pseudomonadota; Betaproteobacteria; Burkholderiales; Alcaligenaceae.